RNAcentral lists this ribosomal RNA (425 nucleotides) under uncultured Methanobacterium sp. Its description in RNAcentral is "bacterial SSU rRNA". It matches the Rfam family "Archaeal small subunit ribosomal RNA", at positions 322 to 747 of the family's 1478-position model. Lineage: Archaea; Methanobacteriati; Methanobacteriota; Methanobacteria; Methanobacteriales; Methanobacteriaceae. The record is from RNAcentral.
CCUAUGGGGGGCAGCAGGCGCGAAACCUCCGCAAUGCGAGCAAUCGCGACGGGGGGACCCCAAGUGCCACUCUUAACGGGGUGGCUUUUCUUAAGUGUAAAAAGCUUUUGGAAUAAGGGCUGGGCAAGACCGGUGCCAGCCGCCGCGGUAACACCGGCAGCUCUAGUGGUAGCCAUUUUUAUUGGGCCUAAAGCGUUCGUAGCCGGUUUGAUAAGUCUCUGGUGAAAUCCUAUAGCUUAACUGUGGGACUUGCUGGAGAUACUAUUAGACUUGAGGUCGGGAGAGGUUAGCGGUACUCCCAGGGUAGGGGUGAAAUCCUGUAAUCCUGGGAGGACCACCUGUGGCGAAGGCGGCUAACUGGAACGAACCUGACGGUGAGGGACGAAAGCCAGGGGCGCGAACCGGAUUAGAUACCCACGUAGUCC